AAAGUUAUGUAAAAUAUUAUUGUUAACCAUACUUCAUUUCAGCUUAAACUAAACUUUUCUUGUCAAAUUUCUAACAUCAAUCAAUUGGACUUGAAAAUUUCAAAAUUUUUAUAGUACAUGAAGCAAUUAUGCAGCUGACGCUUAACCUGAAUAUGUACGACGCUUUCCAAAUAGACGCAUUUCACAUGUAGGUGUUUGGUACAACCUACCGCCGCAUUUCUGAAUUUGACAGUGUCAACACAUAGAACGUGUCAUCCCCCCUCCUAAAAACGUCAAAAUUGAUGGUGAAAUUUUAACACUAGUAGAAGAAGAUCCAAGCACAAGAAAAAUUUCCUAACAGGUGAAUGUGUCACAGUAGAAAGUUUGGUCAAUGGCUCACCUAAGCAGUAUUCGCCCGUUCCAUUAAACUCUGUGCAAGGGAAGGAAUUAUACAUUUUCACAAUUUGCACUAUUGGGACAAAAAUAAUCCUCAUCAGAAAAAGAAAGUGAGUUUCCAAAGAAAAUUUAGUGUAAACGUAUGGAUGGCAGUUAUUAAAAAUAACUUAAUUGGUCCUCAUAUUUUACCGGAUAACCUGAAUGGCGAAAAUUAUGAAGCGUUUUUACGUAACAGCCUACAAGAGUUACUAGAAGAUAUCCCUUUAGCUAACAGACAACAAAUAAUCUUGCUGCACGACGGCUGGCGCACUAUCGUCUAAGAAUAAGGGAAUUCUUAGACCAAACAUUUUCAAUAAGAUAGAUUGGAAGGGGUGGGCCAAUACUGUGGCCUGCCAGAUGUCCUAACUUAACACCGUUAGAUUUUUACGUAUUGGAAGAACUAAAAGAAAUUGUAAAUGCAACAGAAGUAAAUACGUGCGAAAAACUAAUUGGAAUGAUACAAAACGGAUCUGAGAUAUUGCAAGGUUUUCUAAUAAAAUUACCAAGACAGAAAUAACAAAACGGGCUCGUGCUUAUACAAGAAAUGGAGGUAGCUAUUUUGAAAAUGAAUUAGUCAACUUACAGUACAUGAUUUGUUUUACAAGUUUUUCGAUUUAACUGUAAGCAUACUAUGUAUUUUAUUAUAAGCUGAGAAAUAAAAAUCCUUUUUUAAUGGUAA
This is a long non-coding RNA of Anthonomus grandis grandis, 1093 nucleotides long. RefSeq lists it as uncharacterized. The transcript has 2 exons. Lineage: Eukaryota; Metazoa; Arthropoda; Insecta; Coleoptera; Curculionidae. The record is from RefSeq and is a predicted model, not a curated record.